AACAGACCAGGGCAAAGUCGGUCUUUCCUGCUACUACUACAUGCUACUUGACUAUGUCUGGAAGCCAUGGCUGCUGCCCUCAACAUGCUAAACUGAAACCCUCACAAAUAAAGUCACAAAUCAAGAAUUAACAUUGACGGUGAUGGUGGCAAGGGUGCCUUCAUAAGAUGCCAUCCAGCAAGUCCCAGCCUGGAGCCAGAGGCUGGCACUGCACGUCAGAUGGGGGAGGAUCUAUGUUAGGCAUCAGAAAGGUGGUUUAAGCAAGAAGGCAAGAGCUUCUGCAGACAGUGUUGCAAUUAGACACCUGACUUUAACUGCCAAAGGGACCAUCAGAGCACCUCUCCCUACCCUGCCGGACAUCUAUACCAGAAGAGUACGG
Molecule: long non-coding RNA, 379 nt
Organism: Alosa alosa (allis shad)
Lineage: Eukaryota; Metazoa; Chordata; Actinopteri; Clupeiformes; Clupeidae
Exons: 4
Source: RefSeq, a predicted model, not a curated record